AGCAAGGCUGCGCUGUAGAAAGUGGAGAGGUAGAAAGCGGUAGUGUUAAUAUUGAAGUUAUUGGUGAAAAUAAUAAUGUUAAUGGUAAUAAUGCUAUUUCUAAUUAUAUGGGCGAUUUGGAUUUGAAGAACAAUCAUCGGUGUCUGUUUGUGGGGUGUAAGCUAAAGGCCAUGGCUUUGAAUAGUUUUUGUCAUUUGCAUAUUCUCUCUGAUGCCAAGCAGAAGCUCUACAAGCCUUGCGGUUAUGUCAUCAAGAGUGCUCAGUCAGGACCUAUAACAUGUGGAAAGCCAAUAUUGAGAUCAACUGUUCCUUCUCUCUGCACUGUACACUUCCAAA
This 336-nucleotide unclassified non-coding RNA is filed under the name Hevea brasiliensis (rubber tree). Lineage: Eukaryota; Viridiplantae; Streptophyta; Magnoliopsida; Malpighiales; Euphorbiaceae. The record is from RNAcentral.